Molecule: ribosomal RNA, 524 nt
Filed under: uncultured bacterium
Lineage: Bacteria
Description: bacterial SSU rRNA
Rfam family: Bacterial small subunit ribosomal RNA
Source: RNAcentral
AGAAUUGAUCUGGUUCAGGACGAACGCUGGCGGCGUGCCUAACACAUGCAAGUCGAACGGAGGUAUUGGAUGAAGCUGCGAUCCAGUAUCUAGUGGCGGACGGGUGAGUAACGCGUGGGCAACCUACCCAUAAGAGGGGGAUAACACCGGGAAACUGGUGCUAAUACCGCAUAAGCUGCUUAAGCAGUAAAGAUGGCCUCUGAAAAUGCUAUCGCUUAUGGAUGGGCCCGCGUCUGAUUAGCUAGUUGGCAGGGUAACGGCCUACCAAGGCAACGAUCAGUAGCCGGCCUGAGAGGGUGGACGGCCACACUGGGACUGAGACACGGCCCAGACUCCUACGGGAGGCAGCAGUGGGGAAUAUUGCGCAAUGGGGGAAACCCUGACGCAGCGACGCCGCGUGAAGCGAAGAAGGCCUUAGGGUUGUAAAGCUCUGUCUUCAGGAAAGAAUGUCGUGGGGAGGAAUAUGCCCUGCGAAUGACGGUACCUGAAGAGGAAGCCCCGGCUAACUACGUGCCAGCCGCCGC